AAAAUUUUAGUUUAGUAAAAAUAUUUCAUUUACAAUGAAGAGAUUGAUAAAUUAUAUAAUAAAUUAUUAAGAUUUUA
This 77-nucleotide transfer RNA is filed under the name Nylanderia flavipes. RNAcentral's name for it is "tRNA-Val". The record is from RNAcentral. Lineage: Eukaryota; Metazoa; Arthropoda; Insecta; Hymenoptera; Formicidae.